UUCUGCCUCUGUCCAGGUCCUU
This 22-nucleotide microRNA is filed under the name Homo sapiens (human). Its description in RNAcentral is "hsa-miR-5001-3p". The record is from miRBase by way of RNAcentral. Lineage: Eukaryota; Metazoa; Chordata; Mammalia; Primates; Hominidae.